UUUAGAUUUCAGACUCUUCUCCUAGCCAAUUUCUUUUCCUUUUAGCAACUUCUAACAUUCUGGGUCUUUAUCGAUGAAAUGGCAGGAAUUCAGUUAGAACUGAAUAAUCUUUUCUCCUAAGUUGCUUUUCUACUCAAGACGUUGACUUCUGAGGGACUGUGUCAUCAGAGCAUUUUCUCAUUGGGAGGUUUAUUGUCCCACAAAUGGAUUAUUUGAAGGGCGAUCUUUUAGCUAAGGUAUAAAAAUGGAGUCACGAGAAAAACUUCUCACCUUCACUCACCUUCCUCAAUUGGAUGUGAGGUCAGCAGAUGCAUGUCAGGGAUCAAUCAUGGCUGUGAGGAAGGUGCAGGAGACAUCAGGAAUGAGUCAUCAAGAAAAGCUGCUGUGGGGUUUCCAAAUUUCUACAAAUGGUUAUUGGAACCCAGAGCCAAGGAAGAGAGGACAACAACUUGCUUCCCAGGAGCUCCAGUCAGAAUGGAUUAUUACAAAUUUAGAGAUGGAAGAGACUUUACAGUCAGGUCCCAUGUGGAUUGAUGAAAAAUGUGGCAUUCUGAGAAAAGAAAAAGGAAACUGGUCCAAUCAGCACUGCAGCUGAGAACACUGUAAUGAACUGACUCCACCCUCCAGAGCACAGUGCCACAUGGCAGAAACAAAAGACCAUUUAAUAAUUUUUCAGAAGGCAGACUUUACUCUAGGCUUUAGCUCAUUACUUGUGGGUCUAAAGGGUCUGCACGUGUGCUUGGGCAUUUGGUCGCAGAAGGUUGUUUAGAGCCACACUUCACUAAAAUCCCACUCUGAUGCCUCUCUGUGGCAUGGACAGGAGUGACCUUGGUUUGGAGGGGGCAGAGAAGGGCAGAGGUUCCCUGGAGCACAAUCUCUUGAAGGUCAUACCAAGAGGCAAAGGCUUCAGGUUCAAGUUCGAUGUCUGUGUUUGCCAUUCAAAGGCUGGCGAGGCUUUUGAAAGAAGAUGGGCCACCAGGGAACGAACUUGUUUGGUCAUGGAAAUAACAUCAUCUACUAAAGGUGCAUAUAUGUUUGGGACUUCAGGAGAUGCUGUGCUCUGUCAGUGAAGGGAAAACGAUUUCAAGUGUGUCUUAAAAAUAUUUGAAUUUUACUCUCUUAAGCAUUAUUAAGGGGUGAAUUCAGGAUUCCCACUUAGGUCUUCUGAUUUCAAAUCUUCUGGCUGAUUAUGCUAUGCAGUGUCACCCUGGAAGGGUGUGCUGGUAAAUGUUUAACAACCAGCUUUCUGGGGGGAAAGAAAAGCAAUCAUGAUAUACUUUUAAAGUUUAAUCUUCAUUAUCACCAUUUUCUCCAUUACUUUUUUAAAGUGUACAUAAUCAACAAAAUAAUAAAUCCUCAUAUAGAUAAUUAGAAUAAAAUAGU
RNAcentral lists this long non-coding RNA (1383 nucleotides) under Phascolarctos cinereus (koala). RNAcentral describes it as "lncRNA (ENSPCIG00000011268.2)". The record is from RNAcentral. Lineage: Eukaryota; Metazoa; Chordata; Mammalia; Diprotodontia; Phascolarctidae.